GCUUUUUUAGACUUCAAAGUAGGACUUUUUCUUCUGUAGAAUUGCAGCUUGGAUCCAUUUACUGGAUUCUUCAUUGGUUACUUCUACAAUUUUGGAUAGGAUUGUGAAGGUUCUCCCCGAUUUGAAAGACUACCUUUGUGUACACAAAGGGACAUAUCUUGUGGACAGAUUUACUCUGCACAAGUGCUUCACAGUGGCUUACUUGUGACAGAGAUCUAGAGCGAAGGUUUCUCAAGAAUGUUAACUUCACUGUGUGUUAAAGCUAGUACUCAUUUAUGUGACGCAACUCAAGUACUCAAUAGAGAAGUUGCCUGAAGCAACAAUCAUGUAUGUGGAGCUCCAAGAUACUGAUAAAGGAACAGAGACCCCUAAUGAUUCAAGAAGAUUUUUGGGAAGCCUUAGUUAGUGUUGGUUUAUGCGCUGUUGUAUUAUGCGAUAUUGAGCCAUUUUUUGUUCUAUUGUGUCCUCUAUUUGAUAAUGUUGUUGCACUUGUAAGCUAAUA
Molecule: long non-coding RNA, 502 nt
Organism: Camelina sativa (false flax)
Lineage: Eukaryota; Viridiplantae; Streptophyta; Magnoliopsida; Brassicales; Brassicaceae
Source: RefSeq, a predicted model, not a curated record